ACCAGUAAAAUAGUUUAAACCAGAACAAAUGAAUCCUUCAAAUGAUCCGUUUAUACUCAAAUAAACCAAUAUCUAAUUAAACCCAAGCAGUCAAGUGCUAAACUCAUUUACAACCUCAAAGAUUAGACAUCUUCUAAUUUCUCCUCUUCACGAUUUUCCACCCCCUUGCUCUUGUCCUUUUGAUGUUUACCAUCAACUUUGCGGCUUUGUGUCGGUGGUGCUUUCUUAAGUAAUUAAAUGGUCGUCCUACUUGAGCCAAAACAGAGAGGAAUAUGUGUUACCUUGUUCUUUUGUGGCCUACCUUCAAUCAGGACUCUGAUAAAAGCAACAAAAAGAAGAAAGCGAAACAGACAAAGAAGUUGCAGGUAAAUAAUUGCAUGGGCUUGUACUUUGGGAGUUUCUUUACUGCAUCAUAGGACAGCAGCAGAAAACAACGAUCCUAUCAACUACUAACAGAUUAAACUAAAGAUAGAUUGAUAGAAGGAUG
This 487-nucleotide long non-coding RNA is filed under the name Theobroma cacao (cacao). Its description in RNAcentral is "long non-coding RNA (TCAC_LNC000060)". Lineage: Eukaryota; Viridiplantae; Streptophyta; Magnoliopsida; Malvales; Malvaceae. The record is from RNAcentral.